GACAGAGGGUGCAAACGUUGUUCGGAAUUACUGGGCGUAAAGCGAGUGUAGGCGGUCUGAAAAGUCAGGUGUGAAAGCCCUGGGCUCAACCCAGGAAGUGCACUUGAAACUGCCAGGCUAGAGUAUCGGAGAGGUUGGUGGAAUUCUCGGUGUAGAGGUGAAAUUCGUAGAUAUCUGGAGGAACACCGGUGGCGAAGGCGGCAUCCUGGACCAAUACUGACGCUGAGGAGCGAAAGCCAGGGGAGCAAACGGG
RNAcentral lists this ribosomal RNA (253 nucleotides) under uncultured bacterium. RNAcentral's name for it is "partial 16S ribosomal RNA". It matches the Rfam family "Bacterial small subunit ribosomal RNA", at positions 524 to 776 of the family's 1533-position model. The record is from RNAcentral.